AGUGAACGCUGGCGGUAGGCCUAACACAUGCAAGUCGAACGGCAGCACAGUAAGAGCUUGCUCUUACGGGUGGCGAGUGGCGGACGGGUGAGGAAUACAUCGGAAUCUACUUUUUCGUGGGGGAUAACGUAGGGAAACUUACGCUAAUACCGCAUACGACCUACGGGUGAAAGCAGGGGAUCUUCGGACCUUGCGCGGUUGAAUGAGCCGAUGUCGGAUUAGCUAGUUGGCGGGGUAAAGGCCCACCAAGGCGACGAUCCGUAGCUGGUCUGAGAGGAUGAUCAGCCACACUGGAACUGAGACACGCUCCAGACUCCUACGGGAGGCAGCAGUGGGGAAUAUUGGACAAUGGGCGCAAGCCUGAUCCAGCCAUACCGCGUGGGUGAAGAAGGCCUUCGGGUUGUAAAGCCCUUUUGUUGGGAAAGAAAAGCAGCAGGUUAAUACCCAGCUGUUCUGACGGUACCCAAAGAAUAAGCACCGGCUAACUUCGUG
RNAcentral lists this ribosomal RNA (492 nucleotides) under uncultured bacterium. Its description in RNAcentral is "partial 16S ribosomal RNA". It matches the Rfam family "Bacterial small subunit ribosomal RNA", at positions 29 to 507 of the family's 1533-position model. The record is from RNAcentral.